This 71-nucleotide transfer RNA is filed under the name Lachnospiraceae bacterium. RNAcentral's name for it is "tRNA-Lys". It matches the Rfam family "tRNA". From Rfam's summary of the family: Transfer RNA (tRNA) molecules are approximately 80 nucleotides in length. Their secondary structure includes four short double-helical elements and three loops (D, anti-codon, and T loops). Further hydrogen bonds mediate the characteristic L-shaped molecular structure. tRNAs have two regions of fundamental functional importance: the anti-codon, which is responsible for specific mRNA codon recognition, and the 3' end, to which the tRNAs corresponding amino acid is attached (by aminoacyl-tRNA synthetases). tRNAs cope with the degeneracy of the genetic code in two manners: having more than one tRNA (with a specific anti-codon) for a particular amino acid; and 'wobble' base-pairing, i.e. permitting non-standard base-pairing at the 3rd anti-codon position. The record is from RNAcentral. Lineage: Bacteria; Bacillati; Bacillota; Clostridia; Lachnospirales; Lachnospiraceae.
GGGAUAUUAGCUCAGUUGGUAGAGCACUUGACUUUUAAUCAAGUUGUCCGGGGUUCGAANNUCGAAUCCCG